GCCGAUAUGAUGAAAUUGGUAAACAUACGUGAUUCAAAAUCACGCGCCGCAAGGCUUCCCGGUUCAAGUCCGGGUAUCGGUACCA
This 85-nucleotide transfer RNA is filed under the name Sulfurimonas sp. RNAcentral's name for it is "tRNA-Leu". It matches the Rfam family "tRNA". From Rfam's summary of the family: Transfer RNA (tRNA) molecules are approximately 80 nucleotides in length. Their secondary structure includes four short double-helical elements and three loops (D, anti-codon, and T loops). Lineage: Bacteria; Pseudomonadati; Campylobacterota; Epsilonproteobacteria; Campylobacterales; Sulfurimonadaceae. The record is from RNAcentral.